AUUAAAAGGUUAGUUGUGUGAAUCAAUUUAAUUUGAAAUUAGAAGCUUAUUAAAAUUGAUUAAAAAAAAUAUUUUUAUUCUAAGUAUUAAUAGAGAAAAGGGUUAAGUAAUUAUAGUUUAUGAGUAUAGAGAUAGGAAGUUGAAAUAAAGAUUAAUUGUAGUAAAGAAAAAUUAAAUUUUUGUACCUUGUGUAUCAGGGUUUAUUAAAAGUGAAUUAUAGAGUUAAUUAUCUCGAAUUAUAAAGAGCUAAUAUUAUAUAUAUUUAAUUGUAGCAUAAUUUUUUAUAAUAUAAUAUUAGAAAUGAAACGUUAGUCGUUUUUUAAGAUAUCUAGUUUUUUAAGAAAUAAAUUUAAUUUGGCUAGUUGUGGGCUUUAUACUUCAUAGUUAGUAUAAAGUUUUAAUUAAGUAAUAUUUUAAGGGAUAAGCUUUAAAAUAAAGGUUUAAAAUAAAUAUAGAAUAUGGGGAGAAUAUGUAGGAUUGAAAAUUUUUAUCUUUAGUUUGUUAUAAUUAGUUUUUUUUGUAUUAAGAUUUAUAUAAUAUUUAGAUUUUUUAUUAAGAUGAAUUAUUGAAUAGGGAUAUAUUUGUAAUUAUGAUAAAAUUAGUAUAGGUUAUUGUAUAAUAGAAUUGUUAGAGAAAGGUUAAGUUAAGGAAUUCGGCAAGAAUGUUUCUCGCCUGUUUAUUAAAAACAUGUCUUUUUGAUUAUAAUUUAAAGUCUGACCUGCCCAAUGAGGAGUUAAAUGGCCGCGGUAAUUUGACCGUGCAAAGGUAGCAUAAUCAUUAGUUUUUUAAUUGGAAGCUGGUAUGAAUGGUUGGACGAGGGAACAACUGUCUCAAUUUAAUUGUAAUAGAAUUUUAAUUUUAAGUUAAAAUGCUUAAAUGAAUUUAAAAGACGAGAAGACCCUAUAGAGUUUUAUAUAAGAUUAUAUGUGUAAGUAUAAGUAUUUAAAUAGUUAAAUAUAAUUUUAUAUUUUGUUGGGGCGAUAGAAAAAUUAAAGGAACUUUUUUUUUAUUAAGUCAUUAAUGUAUGAAUAAAUGAUCCGUUUUUUACGAUUAUAAGAUUAAAUUACCUUAGGGAUAACAGCGUUAUUUUUUUUGAGAGUUCAAAUCGAAAAGAAAGUUUGCGACCUCGAUGUUGGAUUAAAAUUUAUUUCUGGUGUAGGGGCUAGAAUAUUAGGUCUGUUCGACCUUUAAAAUUUUACAUGAUCUGAGUUUAAACCGGCGUGAGCCAGGUUGGUUUCUAUCUUUAAAGAGGGUAAAUAUUUUAGUACGAAAGGAUCAAGUAUUUAUAAGAUUUAUUAUUUAGGGAAUAUUAUUGUUACUUUGGCAGAUAAGUGCUUUAAAUUUAGAAUUUAAAUAUGUAUAGAUAGUACAAG
This 1373-nucleotide ribosomal RNA is filed under the name Melolontha hippocastani. RNAcentral's name for it is "16S ribosomal RNA". The stretch from base 883 to 1247 matches the Rfam family "Bacterial large subunit ribosomal RNA", at positions 2073 to 2647 of the family's 2925-position model. Lineage: Eukaryota; Metazoa; Arthropoda; Insecta; Coleoptera; Scarabaeidae. The record is from RNAcentral.